ACGGAAGGGCACCACCAGGAGUGGAAUCUGCGGCUUAAUUUGACUCAACGCGGGAAAACUCACCAGGUCAGGACACGGUAAGGAUUGACGGACUGAAGGCUCUUUCUCGAUUCCGUGGAAAGUGGUGCAUGGCCGUUUUUGGUUGGUGGAUCGAUCCGUCUGGUUAAUUCCGUUAACGAACGAGACCUCGGCACUCCGAAUAGCGCGGCGGACGUCGCGGCCUCCGGGCCGUCUUCCGCACGAGCUUCUUAGAGGGACCGUCCCCCGCCGGGGAAGGAGGUGCGAGGCAACGACAGGUCUGUGAUGCCCUUAGAUGUUCUGGGCCGCACGCGCAUUACACUGACGCGUCCAACGGGUGACUCCCGACCCGAAGGGGCCGGGGAAUCCGCAAGGCGCGUCGUGAUGGGGAUUGAACGUUGCAAUUGUUGUUCACGAACGAGGAAUUCCUAGUAGGCGCGGGUCAUCAACCCGCGCCGAUUACGUCCCUGCC
Molecule: ribosomal RNA, 490 nt
Filed under: uncultured eukaryote
Lineage: Eukaryota
Description: bacterial SSU rRNA
Rfam family: Eukaryotic small subunit ribosomal RNA
Source: RNAcentral